UACGUAGGUGGCGAGCGUUAUCCGGAUUUAUUGGGUUUAAAGGGUGCGUAGGCGGUUUGAUAAGUUAGAGGUGAAAUGUCGGGGCUCAACCCCGAAACUGCCUCUAAUACUGUUGGACUAGAGAAUAGUUGCGGUAGGCGGAAUGUAUGGUGUAGCGGUGAAAUGCUUAGAGAUCAUACAGAACACCGAUUGCGAAGGCAGCUUACCAAACUAUAUCUGACGUUGAGGCACGAAAGCGUGGGUAGCAAACAGG
RNAcentral lists this ribosomal RNA (253 nucleotides) under uncultured bacterium. Its description in RNAcentral is "partial 16S ribosomal RNA". It matches the Rfam family "Bacterial small subunit ribosomal RNA", at positions 524 to 776 of the family's 1533-position model. The record is from RNAcentral.